Molecule: ribosomal RNA, 119 nt
Organism: Cercocebus atys (sooty mangabey)
Lineage: Eukaryota; Metazoa; Chordata; Mammalia; Primates; Cercopithecidae
Source: Ensembl
AUCUGUGGCCACACCACCCUGAGCUCGUGAGAUCUCAUCUGAUCUCGGAACCUAAGCAGGAUCGGGCGUGGUUAAUAGAUGGAUGGGAGACUGCCUGGGAAUAUUGGGUGCUGUAGGCU